RNAcentral lists this ribosomal RNA (447 nucleotides) under uncultured bacterium. RNAcentral's name for it is "partial 16S ribosomal RNA". It matches the Rfam family "Bacterial small subunit ribosomal RNA", at positions 330 to 794 of the family's 1533-position model. The record is from RNAcentral.
ACCAGACUCCUACGGGAGGCAGCAGUGGGGAAUAUUGCACAAUGGGGGAAACCCUGAUGCAGCGACGCCGCGUGAGCGAUGAAGUAUUUCGGUAUGUAAAGCUCUAUCAGCAGGGAAGAAAAUGACGGUACCUGACUAAGAAGCCCCGGCUAACUACGUGCCAGCAGCCGCGGUAAUACGUAGGGGGCAAGCGUUAUCCGGAUUUACUGGGUGUAAAGGGGGCGCAGACGGCAGCGCAAGCCAGGAGUGAAAGCCCGGGGCCCAACCCCGGGACUGCUUUGGAAACUGUAUAGCUGGAGUGCAGGAGAGGUAAGUGGAAUUCCUAGUGUAGCGGUGAAAUGCGUAGAUAUUAGGAGGAACACCAGUGGCGAAGGCGGCUUACUGGACUGUAACUGACGUUGAGGCUCGAAAGCGUGGGGAGCAAACAGGAUUAGAUACCCGGGUACC